UCAGACGAUGCGUCAUGCAUAUCAUAAGCGGAGGAAAAGAGACUAACAAGGAUUCCCUUAGUAACGGCGAGUGAAGCGGGAAGAGCUCAAAUUUGAAAUCUUCAAGGUUUUACCUUGACGAAUUGUAGUUUAAAGAAGUGUUUUCUGCUGAAGUUUUGGUAAAAGUUCUUUGGAAUAGGACAUCAUAGAGGGUGAGAAUCCCGUAUUUGACCAUUAUUUUCAGCUGUGUGAUACACUUUCAAAGAGUCGGAUUGUUUGGGAAUGCAGUCCAAAAUGGGUGGUAAAUUUCAUCUAAAGCUAAAUAUUGGCGAGAGACCGAUAGCGAACAAGUACCGUGAGGGAAAGAUGAAAAGAACUUUGAAAAGAGAGUUAAACAGUACGUGGAAUUGUCAAAAGGGAAGCGUUUGACACCAGUGUUGUUUUCUCGAAAAUCAAUUAAAAAGAGUUAGAUUUUGUUGUGUAUUGACCUUAACAGCUUGCAUUUCAAUUUUCUUGCUUUUUUUAAUGCACUUUUCGUUUAACAAGUCAACAUCAGUUUCUUUUGUUGUAAAAAGGUCAUUGGAAGGUGGCUUUCUUUUCGGAGAAAGUGUUUAUAGCCUUUGACUCCUGCAAUCGGAGAGACUGAGGUCUGCAGCGUAGAUCCUUCGGGGUUAGAUACAUUUGUGCUAAGUUAUAGCUUUUUAUAGACAACUUGUUGACUAUGAUUAGUCUUGUAGCUUACUCGCUUAUGCUAUUUUACCUACGCUUAGGAUGUUGAGUCGUAGAGCACGCAG
RNAcentral lists this ribosomal RNA (773 nucleotides) under uncultured Neocallimastigales. Its description in RNAcentral is "partial large subunit ribosomal RNA". It matches the Rfam family "Eukaryotic large subunit ribosomal RNA", at positions 18 to 622 of the family's 3401-position model. The record is from RNAcentral. Lineage: Eukaryota; Fungi; Neocallimastigomycota; Neocallimastigomycetes; Neocallimastigales.